AUCCAGAUGAUGAGUCCUAAAUAGGACGAAAUCCGCAUCCUGGAU
Molecule: non-coding RNA, 45 nt
Filed under: Trichobilharzia regenti
Lineage: Eukaryota; Metazoa; Platyhelminthes; Trematoda; Strigeidida; Schistosomatidae
Source: RNAcentral